AGCGAACGCUGGCGGCAGGCUUAACACAUGCAAGUCGAGCGGAUGUAGCAAUACAUCAGCGGCAGACGGGUGAGUAACACGUGGGAACGUACCUUUUGGUUCGGAACAACACAGGGAAACUUGUGCUAAUACCGGAUAAGCCCUUACGGGGAAAGAUUUAUCGCCGAAAGAUCGGCCCGCGUCUGAUUAGCUAGUUGGUGAGGUAACGGCUCACCAAGGCGACGAUCAGUAGCUGGUCUGAGAGGAUGAUCAGCCACAUUGGGACUGAGACACGGCCCAAACUCC
RNAcentral lists this ribosomal RNA (285 nucleotides) under uncultured bacterium. RNAcentral describes it as "partial 16S ribosomal RNA". It matches the Rfam family "Bacterial small subunit ribosomal RNA", at positions 29 to 339 of the family's 1533-position model. The record is from RNAcentral.